This 492-nucleotide ribosomal RNA is filed under the name uncultured bacterium. RNAcentral describes it as "bacterial SSU rRNA". It matches the Rfam family "Bacterial small subunit ribosomal RNA", at positions 18 to 507 of the family's 1533-position model. The record is from RNAcentral.
CCUGGCUCAGAUUGAACGCUGGCGGCAUGCCUUACACAUGCAAGUCGAACGGCAGCGGACCUUCGGGUGCCGGCGAGUGGCGAACGGGUGAGUAAUAUAUCGGAACGUACCUUUCAGUGGGGGAUAACGUAGCGAAAGUUACGCUAAUACCGCAUAUUCUGUGAGCAGGAAAGCAGGGGAUCGCAAGACCUUGCGCUGAUUGAGCGGCCGAUAUCAGAUUAGCUAGUUGGUGAGGUAAAGGCUCACCAAGGCGACGAUCUGUAGCGGGUCUGAGAGGAUGAUCCGCCACACUGGAACUGAGACACGGUCCAGACUCCUACGGGAGGCAGCAGUGGGGAAUUUUGGACAAUGGGCGCAAGCCUGAUCCAGCCAUGCCGCGUGAGUGAAGAAGGCCUUCGGGUUGUAAAGCUCUUUCGGCCGGGAAGAGAUCGCACAGGUUAAUACCCUGUGUGGAUGACGGUACCGGAAUAAGAAGCACCGGCUAACUACGUG